CAUUUUUCAAACCGCUACUGACUCGUUUUCAUGCUAAACAGUACGGCUGAGAGGUCAUGUACCAUGUGGUCGACCUUGCUGACGCUGAAGAGGUUUCUGUGUAAAAAUGAUGACAUUGAGACAAACAGACCAGUUCUGGCUGCCGUGGAGGUCAACACACCACUGAUCUACUGGCUGCCCUUCAACGUGAUGCCCAGCCGAUGCCUGACCACCGACGGAACUAGGGCUGCACGAUAAGUCGCAUGUGUUUGUCAGGCGCAUCUCCUCAGUAAUGCCGGUUCCUUGAUUAGUAU
Non-coding RNA from Paramisgurnus dabryanus, 293 nucleotides. NCBI's taxonomy places the organism in Eukaryota, Metazoa, Chordata, Actinopteri, Cypriniformes, Cobitidae. The record is from RefSeq and is a predicted model, not a curated record.